This 408-nucleotide ribosomal RNA is filed under the name uncultured bacterium. RNAcentral describes it as "bacterial SSU rRNA". It matches the Rfam family "Bacterial small subunit ribosomal RNA", at positions 355 to 775 of the family's 1533-position model. The record is from RNAcentral.
UGGGGAAUAUUGCGCAAUGGGCGGAAGCCUGACGCAGCGACGCCGCGUGAGGGAUGACGGUCUUCGGAUUGUAAACCUCUUUCAGCAGGGACGAAGCGCAAGUGACGGUACCUGCAGAAGAAGCACCGGCCAACUACGUGCCAGCAGCCGCGGUAAUACGUAGGGUGCAAGCGUUGUCCGGAAUUAUUGGGCGUAAAGAGCUCGUAGGCGGCUUGUCACGUCGACUGUGAAAACCCGGGGCUCAACUCCGGGCCUGCAGUCGAUACGGGCUGGCUUGAGUGCGGUAGGGGAGACUGGAAUUCCUGGUGUAGCGGUGAAAUGCGCAGAUAUCAGGAGGAACACCGGUGGCGAAGGCGGGUCUCUGGGCCGUAACUGACGCUGAGGAGCGAAAGCGUGGGGAGCGAACAG